AACGAACGCUGGCGGCAGGCCUAACACAUGCAAGUCGAGCGAGGUAGCAAUACCUAGCGGCGGACGGGUUAGUAACGCGUGGGAACGUGCCCAAAGGUACGGAAUAGCCUCGGGAAACUGAGAGUAAUACCGUAUGUGCCCUUCGGGGGAAAGGAUUUAUCGCCUUUGGAUCGGCCCGCGUUGGAUUAGGUAGUUGGUGGGGUAAGUGGCCUACCAAGCCGACGAUCCAUAGCUGGUUUGAGAGGAUGAUCAGCAACACUGGGACUGAGACACGGCCCACGACUCCUACGGGAGGCAGCAGUGGGGAAUCUUAGACAAUGGGGGAAACCCGUACGAUCUAGCCAUGCCGCGUGAGCGAUGAAGGCCUUAGGGUUGUAAAGCUCUUUCAGCUGGGAAGAUAAUGACGGUACCAGCAGAAGAAGCCCCGGCUAACUCCGUGCCAGCAGCCGCGGUAAAGUGCGCUUCU
This 466-nucleotide ribosomal RNA is filed under the name uncultured bacterium. RNAcentral describes it as "bacterial SSU rRNA". It matches the Rfam family "Bacterial small subunit ribosomal RNA", at positions 29 to 536 of the family's 1533-position model. The record is from RNAcentral.